GGAUGUGAGGGUGAUCUGGCUGUUACAUGUCACCCCAUUGGUUUCCAAAAACUAAGGUUGAUUUGGAAGAUCUGGCUGGCUAGGCAGGUGUUUCCUUCACCUUUCCAUGUGGAUCCCUCCCGAAGCUGAAGCUAACGGAGGACCAUCUUUCAGUCUAGGGUGGCUGUGCUCCCCUGUUAGAACGUCCACACACGCUCUUGCAGUCCAUUUGUAGAAGAACGUAGGGUAGUCAAGCUUCCAAGACUCCAUCCACAUCCAAAUGAAGUGCUGCAUGUGGCAGUCUGCUUUU
Molecule: small nuclear RNA, 289 nt
Filed under: Echinops telfairi (small Madagascar hedgehog)
Lineage: Eukaryota; Metazoa; Chordata; Mammalia; Afrosoricida; Tenrecidae
Description: 7SK RNA (ENSETEG00000024170.1)
Rfam family: 7SK RNA
About the family: 7SK was discovered as an abundant small nuclear RNA in the mid-70s but a possible function has only recently been suggested. Two independent studies have found that 7SK RNA binds the CDK9/cyclin T complex (known as elongation factor P-TEFb). P-TEFb activates transcription by phosphorylating the C-terminal domain of RNA polymerase II.
Source: RNAcentral